Molecule: ribosomal RNA, 492 nt
Filed under: uncultured bacterium
Lineage: Bacteria
Description: partial 16S ribosomal RNA
Rfam family: Bacterial small subunit ribosomal RNA
Source: RNAcentral
AGUGAACGCUGGCGGUAGGCCUAACACAUGCAAGUCGAACGGCAGCACAGUAAGAGCUUGCUCUUACGGGUGGCGAGUGGCGGACGGGUGAGGAGUACAUCCGAAUCUUCUUUUUCGUGGGGGAUAACGUAGGGAAACUUACGCUCAUACCGCAUACGACCUACCGGUGAAAGCAGGGGAUAUUCGCACCUUGCGCGAUUGAAUGAGCCGAUGUGGGACUAGUUAGUUGGCGGGGUAAAGGCCCACCAAGGCGACGAUCGGUAGCCGGUCUGAGAGGAUGAUCAGCCACAUGGGAACUGAGACACGGUCCAGACGCCUACGGGAGGCAGCAGUGGGGAAUAUGGGACAAUGGGCGCAAGCCUGAUCCAGCCAUACCGCGUGGGUGAAGAAGGCGUUCGGGUUGUAAAGCCCUUUUGUUGGGAAAGAAAAGCAGCAGGUUAAGACCCCGCUGUUCUGACGGUACCCAAAGAAUAAGCACCGGCUAACUUCGUG